UAUAUUUUAGUUGAUUAGAGAUGAGUGCAUGUUCACAAUGAUAAUUUAUGAAUUGAUUGCACGCAAUUAGUUUUUUUUUAACAAAAUUUCAGCAGAAAAAUUUCUUGUCAAUAAUUGGAUAAUACUAUUAUUGAAAAUAAUACUGAAAUAGUUUAUAAUAAAUGUGUAAUAUAUGCAUUUUAUCUGAAUCAAUUGUUAAGUAAAUAUGAAAUAUGUUAACAACCUAACAAUCGACUAACACAUGUUCUCAUCCUUACAUUUGAGCAUAAUGGCAAUCGAAGCUCUUGCACAUGGGUCAACUCCUGUUGCGGCAAUUAUUAGUUUAUAAGAGAAGGGGCGACGAAGAGAGAAGAAUCGCGCCAAGUGUGUGUUCGGCAACACGCUUUGUGUUUUUAUUCGUAACAGCUCGCUGCUAUGUAAGUUUUGCAUUUGCGUACAUUUUAAAAUUAUUGUAUACAAUAUAUUUUAAAAUUUGCAUUUAUAAUUUUAUUUUGUAUGUAAUUUACAAAUGCAUAUAGUAAUAUGCAUAAUAUAAUAAAAAUAUGUUAGAAAAUAGAAAAUAACGAUAAAAAUUAGUUAAUGAAACAUAUUUCUUGUUUGGAAACGAUGCGUACAAGUUGAAAAAAGAAUAUGAAAGAGAAUGAAAGAAAAACACGAACAGAGUUGUCGAACACUAAUUGAUCGAGUGAACGCAAUGGGCGACAGCAAAAGAGAAUCUCCCACAAAAUAUUCUCCACAAUUAAAGACAUUGUAAAACACAUUUUUUAAUACAUUAUAUUUUAUUGUAUUUCAACUUUAUGUUAUAAUAAAUGUGUAGAACGUAUAAAUUUCAUGUAUAUCCGAUUACUUGGAAUUAAUUCAAUUAAUUUUUAAUUCCAAUUAAUUAUAAUUUCCAAUUAAUUAUAAUUGAAUGAAAUGCGUGUAUUAAAAAAUAAAAACAUAUUUGAUUCUACCACAAACUAAAAUUAUAGUUAAUUGCGAGCUUUUGCAUUUCGUCUAAUACUAUGUUCGGACCGACAUUGAAAAUGUGUUUUCAUAGCACAAAUAUGUCUCUAUCAAUU
Long non-coding RNA from Zeugodacus cucurbitae (melon fly), 1061 nucleotides. RefSeq lists it as uncharacterized. NCBI's taxonomy places the organism in Eukaryota, Metazoa, Arthropoda, Insecta, Diptera, Tephritidae. The transcript has 2 exons. The record is from RefSeq and is a predicted model, not a curated record.